Molecule: long non-coding RNA, 1254 nt
Organism: Danaus plexippus (monarch butterfly)
Lineage: Eukaryota; Metazoa; Arthropoda; Insecta; Lepidoptera; Nymphalidae
Exons: 5
Source: RefSeq, a predicted model, not a curated record
GACAAAUCUAAUGUGUGUUUGUGUGUGUAUUUGUGUGUGUGUUUGUGUGUGUAUUUGUGAUUCAUUCUUAAUUUUGAGAGUGAUCAAGUUGGUAUUAUAAAUCGAGCCCCAUCUCGUUACGUCCAAUGCGAAAGCUGCUUUAGCCAAAGCGAAGCAUUUCUUAUGUGUUAUGGCCCUUACAUGUUAUAGACUGUUUGUAAACGUAAUAUUAUCACAAAAAAAAAUAACAUAUUAAAACAUGCGGAUAAAAUUAUUUAAUACGAAACGAAACAAUCUAUAAUUUUUUUUAAAAAAUAUGAAAAGCACGAAUGACGUCGUGGAAAAAAGCUGAAGCUGUUAUUGAAGUCGAUAAUACAAAGAUCUGUGCUCGGUGACUCCCUACCUCUGUACCCCUGGCUUCUGGCCGUUCCACAGAUAGUCUUCGAUGUAACGCUUGGGUCCGUCCUCGUGGUCUCCGUCGACGUGGUUCAUGAGAGGCUCUGCUUCCACUAAACCUGUAAAUCCACAGCAGCUUUCUUGAGUGCUCCCAUGGAGAUGCUCUUCCUCGGCACCACCUCAUCUUUAGGCCAUGCGAACUGGUUCCGGUACUCGGUGCUCACAGUCUCCGGCUCCUUCGCAGCCAGGACCUCACCCAAUGCUGUGGUCGCCUGAUUUAUUUGUGUCUGUCCAGCGUGGCUGGCGAGGACCUUCAGAUUUGCUUCGUCUCCCGGCACGCUCUGAAUCAUUUCUCUGAGCACUCUGUGAUAAUAUUAAGGACAUUCGUAUUUGACCAAUUAACCUACGUGCAAAUUAGUGGCAUCUAUAUUAACAGUAAAAAGUUAUGGGCGCAGAUAGCUCUUAACAACUUUUAUAAUGUGUCUGAAAACAAUUUCCAUGUAUAAUGAUAAAGAUAUGAUAAAAGAUAAAGAAAGAAACGUAUACUGCCGGGAAAGUGUCUUCAUAAGUCAAAAUAUAAAAAAAUAUAUAUGUAUUUUAUAAAAGAUAUUGAUAAAGAAUUGUGAUAAUUUACAUGUUAAUUUCAUUAAAUAUAUCAUUAAAUAUUAUAUCUACAUAUGAUCUUAAUAAGAAUGAGCUAUUUGUAAAAUAAAUUAAAAAAUAAAAUGAAUUCUUUGUCCUGAAGAAGAAAUAUUGGCUGUAGGAAACGGAUGUCAUUAGACAGCGCUUUAAGGAAGAAAGGAACAUUUCCGGAGUGAGAGAAUUAACAAAGCUCUGGAAUAACAGGACAUAGAAUACGAUAUGUGACUGACCCGUGCG